RNAcentral lists this ribosomal RNA (377 nucleotides) under uncultured bacterium. RNAcentral's name for it is "bacterial SSU rRNA". It matches the Rfam family "Bacterial small subunit ribosomal RNA", at positions 521 to 896 of the family's 1533-position model. The record is from RNAcentral.
UAAUACAGAGGUGGCAAGCGUUGUUCGGAAUUACUGGGCGUAAAGGGCGCGUAGGCGGCCUCGCAAGUCCCGUGUGAAAUCCCUCGGCUCAACUGAGGAAUGGCACGGGAAACUGCGGGGCUUGAGUUCGGGAGAGGGAAGCGGAAUUCCGGGUGUAGCGGUGAAAUGCGUAGAUAUCCGGAGGAACACCGGUGGCGAAGGCGGCUUCCUGGACCGAUACUGACGCUGAGGCGCGAAAGCUAGGGGAGCAAACGGGAUUAGAUACCCCGGUAGUCCUAGCUGUAAACGAUGAGCGCUGGGUGUAGGGGGUUUUAACCCCUCCUGUGCCGAAGCUAACGCAUUAAGCGCUCCGCCUGGGGAGUACGGUCGCAAGGCUG